Molecule: ribosomal RNA, 534 nt
Filed under: uncultured bacterium
Lineage: Bacteria
Description: bacterial SSU rRNA
Rfam family: Bacterial small subunit ribosomal RNA
Source: RNAcentral
AAUAGAUACCCAGGUAGUCCACGCCGUAAACGGUGGGCACUAGGUGUGGGCGACAUUCCACGUCGUCCGUGCCGCAGCUAACGCAUUAAGUGCCCCGCCUGGGGAGUACGGCCGCAAGGCUAAAACUCAAAGGAAUUGACGGGGGGCCCGCACAAGCGGCGGAGCAUGCGGCUUAAUUCGAUGCAACGCGAAGAACCUUACCUAGGCUUGACAUGUACGGGAAGCAGGCAGAGAUGUCUGUGCCUUCGGGCCCGUUCACAGGUGGUGCAUGGCUGUCGUCAGCUCGUGUCGUGAGAUGUUGGGUUAAGUCCCGCAACGAGCGCAACCCUUGUCCCGUGUUGCCAGCAGGCCCUUGUGGUGCUGGGGACUCACGGGGAGACCGGCCGGGGGUUCAACUCGGGAGGAAGGUGGGGACGACGUCAAGUCAUCAUGCCCCGUUAUGUCUUGGGCUGCACACGUGCUACAAUGGCCGGUACAAUGAGCUGCGAUACCGCGAGGUGGAGCGAAUCUCAAAAACGCCGGUCUCAGUUCGGU